UUAAGCGACUAAGCGUACACGGUGGAUGCCCUGGCAGUCAGAGGCGAUGAAGGACGUGCUAAUCUGCGAUAAGCGUCGGUAAGGUGAUAUGAACCGUUAUAACCGGCGAUUUCCGAAUGGGGAAACCCAGUGUGAUUCGUCACACUAUCAUUAACUGAAUCCAUAGGUUAAUGAGGCGAACCGGGGGAACUGAAACAUCUAAGUACCCCGAGGAAAAGAAAUCAACCGAGAUUCCCCCAGUAGCGGCGAGCGAACGGGGAGCAGCCCAGAGCCUGAAUCAGUGUGUGUGUUAGUGGAAGCGUCUGGAAAGGCGCGCGAUACAGGGUGACAGCCCCGUACACAAAAAUGCACAUGCUGUGAGCUCGAUGAGUAGGGCGGGACACGUGGUAUCCUGUCUGAAUAUGGGGGGACCAUCCUCCAAGGCUAAAUACUCCUGACUGACCGAUAGUGAACCAGUACCGUGAGGGAAAGGCGAAAAGAACCCCGGCGAGGGGAGUGAAAAAGAACCUGAAACCGUGUACGUACAAGCAGUGGGAGCACAGAGCAAUCUGUGUGACUGCGUACCUUUUGUAUAAUGGGUCAGCGACUUAUAUUCUGUAGCAAGGUUAACCGAAUAGGGGAGCCGAAGGGAAACCGAGUCUUAACUGGGCGUUAAGUUGCAGGGUAUAGACCCGAAACCCGGUGAUCUAGCCAUGGGCAGGUUGAAGGUUGGGUAACACUAACUGGAGGACCGAACCGACUAAUGUUGAAAAAUUAGCGGAUGACUUGUGGCUGGGGGUGAAAGGCCAAUCAAACCGGGAGAUAGCUGGUUCUCCCGAAAGCUAUUUUAGGUAGCGCCUCGUGAAUUCAUCUCCGGGGGUAGAGCACUGUUUUCGGCAAGGGGGUCAUCCCGACUUACCAACCCGAUGCAAACUGCGAAUACCGGAGAAUGUUAUCACGGGAGACACACGGCGGGUGCUAACGUCCGUCGUGAAGAGGGAAACAACCAGACCGCCAGCUAAGGUCCCAAAGUCAUGGUUAAGUGGGAAACGAUGUGGGAAGGCCCAGACAGCCAGGAUGUUGGCUUAGAAGCAGCCAUCAUUUAAAGAAAGCGUAAUAGCUCACUGGUCGAGUCGGCCUGCGCGGAAGAUGUAACGGGGCUAAACCAUGCACCGAAGCUGCGGCAGCGACGCUGAUGCGUUGUUGGGUAGGGGAGCGUUCUGUAAGCCUGCGAAGGUGUGCUGUGAGGCAUGCUGGAGGUAUCAGAAGUGCGAAUGCUGACAUAAGUAACGAUAAAGCGGGUGAAAAGCCCGCUCGCCGGAAGACCAAGGGUUACCUGUCCAACGUUAAUCGGGGCAGGGUGAGUCGACCCCUAAGGCGAGGCCGAAAGGCGUAGUCGAUGGGAAACAGGUUAAUAUUCCUGUACUUGGUGUUACUGCGAAGGGGGGACGGAGAAGGCUAUGUUGGCCGGGCGACGGUUGUCCCGGUUUAAGCGUGUAGGCUGGUUUUCCAGGCAAAUCCGGAAAAUCAAGGCUGAGGCGUGAUGACGAGGCACUACGGUGCUGAAGCAACAAAUGCCCUGCUUCCAGGAAAAGCCUCUAAGCAUCAGGUAACAUCAAAUCGUACCCCAAACCGACACAGGUGGUCAGGUAGAGAAUACCAAGGCGCUUGAGAGAACUCGGGUGAAGGAACUAGGCAAAAUGGUGCCGUAACUUCGGGAGAAGGCACGCUGAUAUGUAGGUGAAGUCCCUCGCGGAUGGAGCUGAAAUCAGUCGAAGAUACCAGCUGGCUGCAACUGUUUAUUAAAAACACAGCACUGUGCAAACACGAAAGUGGACGUAUACGGUGUGACGCCUGCCCGGUGCCGGAAGGUUAAUUGAUGGGGUCAGCGCAAGCGAAGCUCUUGAUCGAAGCCCCGGUAAACGGCGGCCGUAACUAUAACGGUCCUAAGGUAGCGAAAUUCCUUGUCGGGUAAGUUCCGACCUGCACGAAUGGCGUAAUGAUGGCCAGGCUGUCUCCACCCGAGACUCAGUGAAAUUGAACUCGCUGUGAAGAUGCAGUGUACCCGCGGCAAGACGGAAAGACCCCGUGAACCUUUACUAUAGCUUGACACUGAACAUUGAGCCUUGAUGUGUAGGAUAGGUGGGAGGCUUUGAAGUGUGGACGCCAGUCUGCAUGGAGCCGGCCUUGAAAUACCACCCUUUAAUGUUUGAUGUUCUAACGUUGACCCGUAAUCCGGGUUGCGGACAGUGUCUGGUGGGUAGUUUGACUGGGGCGGUCUCCUCCUAAAGAGUAACGGAGGAGCACGAAGGUUGGCUAAUCCUGGUCGGACAUCAGGAGGUUAGUGCAAUGGCAUAAGCCAGCUUGACUGCGAGCGUGACGGCGCGAGCAGGUGCGAAAGCAGGUCAUAGUGAUCCGGUGGUUCUGAAUGGAAGGGCCAUCGCUCAACGGAUAAAAGGUACUCCGGGGAUAACAGGCUGAUACCGCCCAAGAGUUCAUAUCGACGGCGGUGUUUGGCACCUCGAUGUCGGCUCAUCACAUCCUGGGGCUGAAGUAGGUCCCAAGGGUAUGGCUGUUCGCCAUUUAAAGUGGUACGCGAGCUGGGUUUAGAACGUCGUGAGACAGUUCGGUCCCUAUCUGCCGUGGGCGCUGGAGAACUGAGGGGGGCUGCUCCUAGUACGAGAGGACCGGAGUGGACGCAUCACUGGUGUUCGGGUUGUCAUGCCAAUGGCACUGCCCGGUAGCUAAAUGCGGAAGAGAUAAGUGCUGAAAGCAUCUAAGCACGAAACUUGCCCCGAGAUGAGUUCUCCCUGACUCCUUGAGAGUCCUGAAGGAACGUUGAAGACGACGACGUUGAUAGGCCGGGUGUGUAAGCGCAGCGAUGCGUUGAGCUAACCGGUACUAAUGAACCGUGAGGCUUAACCUU
RNAcentral lists this ribosomal RNA (2905 nucleotides) under Escherichia coli DEC12E. RNAcentral describes it as "bacterial LSU rRNA". It matches the Rfam family "Bacterial large subunit ribosomal RNA". Lineage: Bacteria; Pseudomonadati; Pseudomonadota; Gammaproteobacteria; Enterobacterales; Enterobacteriaceae. The record is from RNAcentral.